AGAGUUUGAUCAUGGCUCAGAGCGAACGUUAGCGGCGGGCCUAACACAUGCAAGUCGAGCGAGAAAGGAGCUUCGGCUCCGAGUACAGCGGCGGACGGGUGAGUAAUACGUAGGUAACCUGCCCUUCAGUGGGGGACAACGGUCCGAAAGGACCGCUAAUACCGCAUCCGUUUCUCGGGUCCCCGGACUCGAGGAGGAAAGCUGCCUCGAUCGCAAGAUCGGGGUGGCGCUGGAGGAGGGGCCUACGUCGCAUCAGCUAGUUGGUGGGGUAAUGGCCUACCAAGGCGAAGACGCGUAGCUGGUCUGAGAGGAUGAUCAGCCACACUGGGACUGAGACACGGCCCAGACUCCUACGGGAGGCAGCAGUGGGGAAUAUUGGACAAUGGGGGCAACCCUGAUCCAGCUACGCCGCGUGAGUGAUGAAGGCCUUCGGGUCGUAAAGCUCUGUGGGGAGAGACGAACGUCCGGCAUGACCUGUCGGGGUGACGGUAUCUCCUUAGCAAGCACCGGCUAACUUCGUGCCAGCAGCCGCGGUAAUACGAAGGGUGCAAACGUUGCUCGGAAUCAUUGGGCGUAAAGCGCACGUAGGCGGCUUCGCAAGUCGGAUGUGAAAUCCCUCGGCUCAACCGAGGACGUGCAUCCGAAACUGCGAGGCUUGAGUACUGAAGAGGAUCGC
Molecule: ribosomal RNA, 676 nt
Filed under: uncultured bacterium
Lineage: Bacteria
Description: bacterial SSU rRNA
Rfam family: Bacterial small subunit ribosomal RNA
Source: RNAcentral